CCCUUAGAUGUUCUGGGCCGCACGCGCGCUACACUGAUGCAUUCAACGAGUUUCUUCCUGGUCCGAGAGGAAUGGGUAACCUUUUGAAAGUGCAUCGUGAUAGGGAUAGACUAUUGCAAUUAUUGGUCUUCAACGAGGAAUUCCUAGUAGACGUAGUUCAUCAGACUGCAUCGAUUACGUCCCUGCCCUUUGUACACACCGCCUGUCGCUCCUACCGAUUGAAUGCUCAGGUGAGUCAUUCGGACUUUCAUCAUGCUGGUUUCCAGUUUUGAUGAAGGAAAGUCUUGCGAACCUUAUCAUUUAGAGGAAGGAGAAGUCGUAACA
This 324-nucleotide ribosomal RNA is filed under the name uncultured eukaryote. RNAcentral's name for it is "partial 18S ribosomal RNA". It matches the Rfam family "Eukaryotic small subunit ribosomal RNA", at positions 1470 to 1796 of the family's 1831-position model. The record is from RNAcentral.